GAUGAAGAACGCAGCGAAAUGCGAUAAGUAAUGUGAAUUGCAGAAUUCAGUGAAUCAUCGAAUCUUUGAACGCACAUUGCGCCCGCCAGUAUUCUGGCGGGCAUGCCUGUUCGAGCGUCAUUACAACCCUCAGGCCCCCGGGCCUGGCGUUGGGGAUCGGCGGAAGCCCCCUGUGGGCACACGCCGUCCCUCAAAUACAGUGGCGGUCCCGCCGCAGCUUCCAUUGCGUAGUAGCUAACACCUCGCAACUGGAGAGCGGCGCGGCCAUGCCGUAAAACACCCAACUUCUGAAUGUUGACCUCGAAUCAGGUAGGAAUACCCGCUGAACUUAAGCAUAUCAUAAGCGGAGGA
Molecule: unclassified non-coding RNA, 351 nt
Filed under: soil metagenome
Description: partial contains 5.8S ribosomal RNA, internal transcribed spacer 2, and large subunit ribosomal RNA
Rfam family: 5.8S ribosomal RNA (bases 1-120)
Source: RNAcentral